ACGACUCUCGGCAACGGAUAUCUCGGCUCUCGCAUCGAUGAAGAACGCAGCGAAAUGCGAUACUUGGUGUGAAUUGCAGAAUCCCGUGAACCAUCGAGUUUUUGAACGCAAGUUGCGCCCGAAGCCUUUCGGCCGAGGGCACGUCUGCCUGGGUGUCACGCAACAU
This 166-nucleotide ribosomal RNA is filed under the name Croton cupulifer. RNAcentral describes it as "5.8S ribosomal RNA". It matches the Rfam family "5.8S ribosomal RNA". Rfam says of the family: 5.8S ribosomal RNA (5.8S rRNA) is a component of the large subunit of the eukaryotic ribosome. RNAcentral also lists the same sequence under 1 other name. Lineage: Eukaryota; Viridiplantae; Streptophyta; Magnoliopsida; Malpighiales; Euphorbiaceae. The record is from RNAcentral.